This 83-nucleotide small nuclear RNA is filed under the name Eremothecium gossypii FDAG1. Its description in RNAcentral is "FAgSNR161". Lineage: Eukaryota; Fungi; Ascomycota; Saccharomycetes; Saccharomycetales; Saccharomycetaceae. The record is from RNAcentral.
CAUAAAAGUCGGGCUUUUCGCCUUCUGUCUUUAGCCGUUUAAUAUAUGUUUUCUUAUAAAACUACAAAACUUGACCAGUAUCA